UUUUAAAAGUUUAAAUUUUAAUUGAAGUUUAAAUUUUUCUAGCGGUACUGAACGGAGCACUGCGGCGGAAAGCGUUCAUAUGUUGCGCGGGGCUCAUAAUUAAGUGGUAUCCCGCUGACGUCGUCCAUAGGCGACACUCGUCCCCACAGGUAGUCACGCGGAUGCCGCCUAUACGUAGCGAAAGGGUUAAAGGAGAGAAUAUAUUUAAACCACGUGUAUUAUUAUAAACAUUUUAUUUUCUUUUACACCGGGUUUAUUUUUGUAGUUGCAAAUAUGAUACAUUAAUGUGAGAUAUUUUUGUCUUUUGAACAGGUUAAAUAUAUAUAAUAAAAAAAUUGCCGAAAUAGUUAUUCAAGUGCUAUAGUAUUUUUGUAAGAGUUGUUGAAUCAAUGGAAAAUGUUUUCAUAAUGCAUAACUUUACUACAAAAUCGAUUUAUCGAGCAGAUUUCUUUUGGCGAAUUAAUACUAUGAUAUUGACACAGAGUAUACAUAUGCAACUAAACAAAGUGUAGUUUCACAGUUAAUAUUCAGUAUGUUC
Bombus huntii is the source of this 538-nucleotide long non-coding RNA. RefSeq lists it as uncharacterized. Lineage: Eukaryota; Metazoa; Arthropoda; Insecta; Hymenoptera; Apidae. The transcript is spliced from 2 exons. The record is from RefSeq and is a predicted model, not a curated record.